Molecule: ribosomal RNA, 252 nt
Filed under: uncultured bacterium
Lineage: Bacteria
Description: partial 16S ribosomal RNA
Rfam family: Bacterial small subunit ribosomal RNA
Source: RNAcentral
UACAGGGGGGCAAGCGUUGUUCGGAAUUACUGGGCGUAAAGGGUCUGUAGGUGGCCAACUAAGUCAGACGUGAAAUCCCUCAGCUUAACUGGGGAACUGCGUCUGAUACUGGAUGGCUCGAGUGUGGGAGAGGAAUGCGGAAUUCCAGGUGUAGCGGUGAAAUGCGUAGAUAUCUGGAGGAACACCGGUGGCGAAGGCGGCAUUCUGGACCAUAACUGACACUGAGAGACGAAAGCCAGGGGAGCAAACGGG